CAGUAGCCGCGGUAAUACGUAGGUGGCAAGCGUUGUCCGGAAUUAUUGGGCGUAAAGCGCGCGCAGGUGGUUUAAUAAGUCUGAUGCGAAAGCCCACGGCUCAACCGUGGAGGGUCAUUGGAAACUGUUAAACUUGAGUGCAGGAGAGAAAAGUGGAAUUCCUAGUGUAGCGGUGAAAUGCGUAGAGAUUAGGAGGAACACCAGUGGCGAAGGCGGCUUUUUGGCUUGUAACUGACACUGAGGCGCGAAAGCGUGGGGAGCAAACAGGAUUAGAUACCCCCGUAGUCCCUGUCUCUUAUAA
This 301-nucleotide ribosomal RNA is filed under the name uncultured bacterium. RNAcentral describes it as "partial 16S ribosomal RNA". It matches the Rfam family "Bacterial small subunit ribosomal RNA", at positions 509 to 809 of the family's 1533-position model. The record is from RNAcentral.